GACGAACGCUGGCGACGCGCUUAACACAUGCAAGUCGAACGGAAAGGCCUGCUUUCCCUUGUGGAUUGCGGGUACUCGAGUGGCGAACGGGUGAGUAACACGUGAGUGAUCUGCCCCCAACUUGGGUAUAAGCCUGGGAAACUGGGUCUAAUUCCCGAUAGGACUGCAGGGUGGUGCCUGUGGUGGAAAACGAUUUUCUAGUGGUUGGGGAUGAGCUCGCGGCCUAUCAGCUUGUUGGUGGGGUAAUGGCCUACCAAGGCGGCGACGGGUAGCCGGCCUGAGAGGGUGGACGGCCACAUUGGGACUGAGAUACGGCCCAGACUCCUACGGGAGGCAGCAGUGGGGAAUAUUACACAAUGGGCGGAAGCCUGAUGCAGCGACGCUGCGUGGGGGAUGACGGCCUUCGGGUUGUAAACUCCUUUCGACCGCGAGGAAGCCACCUGGUUGGAAGGGUGGUGACGGUAGUGGUAGAAGAAGCACCGGCUAACUACGUG
This 494-nucleotide ribosomal RNA is filed under the name uncultured bacterium. RNAcentral's name for it is "partial 16S ribosomal RNA". It matches the Rfam family "Bacterial small subunit ribosomal RNA", at positions 28 to 507 of the family's 1533-position model. The record is from RNAcentral.